RNAcentral lists this ribosomal RNA (504 nucleotides) under uncultured bacterium. RNAcentral describes it as "bacterial SSU rRNA". It matches the Rfam family "Bacterial small subunit ribosomal RNA", at positions 8 to 508 of the family's 1533-position model. The record is from RNAcentral.
AGAGUUUGAUCCUGGCUCAGGAUGAACGCCGGCGGCGUGCUUAACACAUGCAAGUCGAACGGAACACCCUAGAAGGAGUUUUCGGACAACUGAUAGGACUGUUUAGUGGCGGACGGGUGAGUAACGCGUGAGUAACCUGCCUUGGAGUGGGGAAUAACAGUUGGAAACAGCUGCUAAUACCGCAUAAUAUAUCUGGGUCGCAUGGCUCUGGAUAUCAAAGAUUUAUCGCUCUGAGAUGGACUCGCGUCUGAUUAGCUGGUUGGCGGGGUAACGGCCCACCAAGGCGACGAUCAGUAGCCGGACUGAGAGGUUGGCCGGCCACAUUGGGACUGAGACACGGCCCAGACUCCUACGGGAGGCAGCAGUGGGGAGUAUUGGGCAAUGGGCGCAAGCCUGACCCAGCAACGCCGCGUGAAGGAAGAAGGCUUUCGGGUUGUAAACUUCUUUUCUCAGGGACGAAGCAAGUGACGGUACCUGAGGAAUAAGCCACGGCUAACUACGUGC